AGCGAACGCUGGCGGCAGGCCUAACACAUGCAAGUCGAACGGAUCCUUCGGGAUUAGUGGCGGACGGGUGAGUAACACGUGGGAACGUGCCCUUUGGUUCGGAACAACUCAGGGAAACUUGAGCUAAUACCGGAUGUGCCCUUCGGGGGAAAGAUUUAUCGCCAUUGGAGCGGCCCGCGUCUGAUUAGCUAGUUGGUGAGGUAACGGCCCACCAAGGCGACAAUCAGUAGCUGGUCUGAGAGGAUGAUCAGCCACACUGGGACUGAGACACGGCCCAGACUCCUACGGGAGGCAGCAGUGGGGAAUCUUGCGCAAUGGGCGAAAGCCUGACGCAGCCAUGCCGCGUGAAUGAUGAAGGUCUUAGGAUUGUAAAAUUCUUUCAGCGGGGACGAUAAUGACGGUACCCGCAGAAGAAGCUCCGGCUAACUUCGUG
RNAcentral lists this ribosomal RNA (433 nucleotides) under uncultured bacterium. RNAcentral describes it as "partial 16S ribosomal RNA". It matches the Rfam family "Bacterial small subunit ribosomal RNA", at positions 29 to 507 of the family's 1533-position model. The record is from RNAcentral.